UGCCCAGCAACUCCUAUCCCUACCUCCUAGCGGUACUGGCCGGGGUACGAGUAACCUUAGGGAAGAUCGGGUAACCAACCCCCGGUGGGAACUUUGGUCGUAUGCUGACAGGGAAGG
Molecule: non-coding RNA, 117 nt
Organism: Aedes aegypti (yellow fever mosquito)
Lineage: Eukaryota; Metazoa; Arthropoda; Insecta; Diptera; Culicidae
Source: Rfam